CACGUAGUUAGCCGGGGCUUUCUCGUGAGGUACCGUCACCACGCCGCCCUCUUCGAACGGCGCUCCUUCGUCCCUCACAACAGAGCUUUACGACCCGAAGGCCUUCUUCGCUCACGCGGCGUCGCUCCGUCAGGCUUUCGCCCAUUGCGGAAGAUUCCCUACUGCUGCCUCCCGUAGGAGUCUGGGCCGUGUCUCAGUCCCAGUGUGGCCGGUCACCCUCUCAGGCCGGCUACGCAUCGUCGCCUUGGUGAGCCGUUACCUCACCAACUAGCUAAUGCGCCGCGGGCCCAUCCGCAAGUGACAGCCCAAAGGCCGCCUUUCAACCGAAGACCAUGCGGUCUUCGGUGUUAUCCGGUAUUAGCUCCGGUUUCCCGGAGUUAUCCCGGUCUUGCGGGCAGGUUGCCCACGUGUUACUCACCCGUCCGCCGCUGACCGAAUCAAGGCAAGCCCCAAUCCGGUCCGCUCGACUUGCAUGUAUUAGGCACGCCGCCAGCGUUCGUCCUGAGCCAGGAUCAAACUCU
RNAcentral lists this ribosomal RNA (521 nucleotides) under uncultured Geobacillus sp. Its description in RNAcentral is "partial 16S ribosomal RNA". The record is from RNAcentral. Lineage: Bacteria; Bacillati; Bacillota; Bacilli; Caryophanales; Anoxybacillaceae.